Molecule: ribosomal RNA, 253 nt
Filed under: uncultured bacterium
Lineage: Bacteria
Description: partial 16S ribosomal RNA
Rfam family: Bacterial small subunit ribosomal RNA
Source: RNAcentral
UACGAAGGGGGCUAGCGUUGCUCGGAAUCACUGGGCGUAAAGGGCGCGUAGGCGGCCAUUCAAGUCGGAGGUAAAAGCCCAGGGCUCAACCCUGGAAUUGCCUUCGAUACUGUUUGGCUAGAGACCGGAAGAGGUAAGUGGAACUGCGAGUGUAGAGGUGAAAUUCGUAGAUAUUCGCAAGAACACCAGUGGCGAAGGCGGCUUACUGGUCCGGUUCUGACGCUGAGGCGCGAAAGCGUGGGGAGCAAACAGG